RNAcentral lists this ribosomal RNA (497 nucleotides) under uncultured bacterium. RNAcentral's name for it is "partial 16S ribosomal RNA". It matches the Rfam family "Bacterial small subunit ribosomal RNA", at positions 28 to 507 of the family's 1533-position model. The record is from RNAcentral.
GAUGAACGCUGGCGGCGUGCCUAAUACAUGCAAGUCGAGCGAACAGACGAGGAGCUUGCUCCUCUGACGUUAGCGGCGGACGGGUGAGUAACACGUGGAUAACCUACCUAUAAGACUGGGAUAACUUCGGGAAACCGGAGCUAAUACCGGAUAAUAUAUUGAACCGCAUGGUUCAAUAGUGAAAGACGGUUUUGCUGUCACUUAUAGAUGGAUCCGCGCCGCAUUAGCUAGUUGGUAAGGUAACGGCUUACCAAGGCAACGAUGCGUAGCCGACCUGAGGGGGUGAUCGGCCACCCUGGAAGUGAGACACGGUCCAGACUCCUACGGGAGGCAGCAGUAGGGAAUCUUCCGCAAUGGGCGAAAGCCUGACGGAGCAACGCCGCGUGAGUGAUGAAGGUCUUCGGAUCGUAAAACUCUGUUAUUAGGGAAAAACAAAUGUGUAAGUAACUAUGCACGUAUUGACGGUACCUAAUCAGAAAGCCACGGCUAACUACGUG